UACAGAGGGGGCAAGCGUUGUUCGGAAUUACUGGGCGUAAAGGGCGCGUAGGCGGCCUGUUAAGUCGAACGUGAAAUCCCCGGGCUCAACCCGGGAACUGCGUCCGAUACUGGCAGGCUUGAAUCCGGGAGAGGGAUGCGGAAUUCCAGGUGUAGCGGUGAAAUGCGUAGAUAUGCGGAGGAACACCGAUGGCGAAGGCAAUCCCCUGGGCCUGCACUGACGCUCAUGCACGAAAGCGUGGGGAGCAAACAGG
RNAcentral lists this ribosomal RNA (253 nucleotides) under uncultured bacterium. Its description in RNAcentral is "partial 16S ribosomal RNA". It matches the Rfam family "Bacterial small subunit ribosomal RNA", at positions 524 to 776 of the family's 1533-position model. The record is from RNAcentral.